This 474-nucleotide ribosomal RNA is filed under the name uncultured bacterium. RNAcentral describes it as "bacterial SSU rRNA". It matches the Rfam family "Bacterial small subunit ribosomal RNA", at positions 234 to 704 of the family's 1533-position model. The record is from RNAcentral.
GUCCCCAUCAGCUAUUGGGUGAGGUAAUGGCUCACCAAGGCGAAGACGGGUAGCUGGUCUGAGAGGAUGAUCAGCCACACUGGAACUGAGACACGGUCCAGACUCCUACGGGAGGCAGCAGUGGGGAAUAUUGCGCAAUGGGCGAAAGCCUGACGCAGCCACGCCGCGUGAGCGAUGAAGGUCUUCGGAUCGUAAAGCUCUGUGGGGGGAGAAGAAGAAAGUCGGUGAAGAGCCGGCCCUGACGGUAUCCCCUUAGCAAGCACCGGCUAACUCCGUGCCAGCAGCCGCGGUAAUACGGAGGGUGCAAACGUUGCUCGGAAUCAUUGGGCGUAAAGCGCGCGUAGGCGGCUGAACAAGUUGGAUGUGAAAGCCCUGGGCUCAACCUAGGAUGUGCAUUCAAAACUGUUCGGCUUGAGUCUCGGAGGGGGUCAGAGAAUUCUCGGUGUAGAGGUGAAAUUCGUAGAUAUCGGGAGG